GCUAUCAUUGUAGGAGGGGAGUUGCGUCUGAUUAGCUAGUUGAGGGGUAACGGCCCACCAAGGCGAUGAUCAGUAGCCGGUCUGAGAGGAUGAACGGCCACAUUGGGACUGAGACACGGCCCAAACUCCUACGGGAGGCAGCAGUGGGGAAUCUUCCGCAAUGGGACGAAAGUCUGACGGAGCAACGCCGCGUGAGUGAUGACGGUCUUCGGAUUGUAAAGCUCUGUUAAUCGGGACGAAUGGUUUGUGUGCAAAUAGUGCAUAGACAUGACGGUACCGGAAUAGAAAGCCACGGCUAACUACGUGCCAGCAGCCGCGGUAAU
RNAcentral lists this ribosomal RNA (323 nucleotides) under uncultured Veillonella sp. RNAcentral's name for it is "bacterial SSU rRNA". It matches the Rfam family "Bacterial small subunit ribosomal RNA", at positions 211 to 524 of the family's 1533-position model. The record is from RNAcentral. Lineage: Bacteria; Bacillati; Bacillota; Negativicutes; Veillonellales; Veillonellaceae.